Long non-coding RNA from Perca flavescens (yellow perch), 316 nucleotides. RefSeq lists it as uncharacterized. NCBI's taxonomy places the organism in Eukaryota, Metazoa, Chordata, Actinopteri, Perciformes, Percidae. The transcript has 2 exons. The record is from RefSeq and is a predicted model, not a curated record.
CUGUGUUUGUGUGAAAAUGUCUCAGAGAUGUACGGUAACGAGGACGGGUCCAUCCCUGCCACCUUCGAGAUCCUCUACAUGAUUGGCUGGAAGCCUCACGAGUCUCAGGCCAAACCGGCGAAGAGAGGCUCGGCCAACGUGUCGUUUGGGGAUUUGUCAAAGAUCAGCCAGCCGACCGACACAAACACGUCGUAGAAGAGCCGACUGAACAGCUGACCCACCGCAGAUUGUAAAUAAUAGAUUUUUCUAUUUUAACAGCUACUGUAAUGUACUGUAAUGUUGUUGUGUCUGGAAUAAAGUUGAGCAAUGGAAAACA